This 374-nucleotide ribosomal RNA is filed under the name Escherichia coli. Its description in RNAcentral is "bacterial SSU rRNA". It matches the Rfam family "Bacterial small subunit ribosomal RNA", at positions 928 to 1302 of the family's 1533-position model. The record is from RNAcentral. Lineage: Bacteria; Pseudomonadati; Pseudomonadota; Gammaproteobacteria; Enterobacterales; Enterobacteriaceae.
AGCGGUGGAGCAUGUGGUUUAAUUCGAUGCAACGCGAAGAACCUUACCUGGUCUUGACAUCCACAGAACUUUCCAGAGAUGGAUUGGUGCCUUCGGGAACUGUGAGACAGGUGCUGCAUGGCUGUCGUCAGCUCGUGUUGUGAAAUGUUGGGUUAAGUCCCGCAACGAGCGCAACCCUUAUCCUUUGUUGCCAGCGGUCCGGCCGGGAACUCAAAGGAGACUGCCAGUGAUAAACUGGAGGAAGGUGGGGAUGACGUCAAGUCAUCAUGGCCCUUACGACCAGGGCUACACACGUGCUACAAUGGCGCAUACAAAGAGAAGCGGCCUCGCGAGAGCAAGCGGACCUCAUAAAGUGCGUCGUAGUCCGGAUUGGA